RNAcentral lists this ribosomal RNA (492 nucleotides) under uncultured bacterium. RNAcentral describes it as "partial 16S ribosomal RNA". It matches the Rfam family "Bacterial small subunit ribosomal RNA", at positions 29 to 507 of the family's 1533-position model. The record is from RNAcentral.
AGUGAACGCUGGCGGUAGGCCUAACACAUGCAAGUCGAACGGCAGCACAGUAAGAGCUUGCUCUUACGGGUGGCGAGUGGCGGACGGGUGAGGAAUACAUCGGAAUCUACUUUUUCGUGGGGGAUAACGUAGGGAAACUUACGCUAAUACCGCAUACGACCUACGGGUGAAAGCAGGGGAUCUUCGGACCUUGCGCGAUUGAAUGAGCCGAUGUCGGAUUAGCUAGUUGGCGGGGUAAAGGCCCACCAAGGCGACGAUCCGUAGCUGGUCUGAGAGGAUGAUCAGCCACACUGGAACUGAGACACGGUCCAGACUCCUACGGGAGGCAGCAGUGGGGAAUAUUGGACAAAGGGCGCAAGCCUGAUCCAGCCAUACCGCGGGGGUGAAGAAGGCCUUCGGGUUGUAAAGCCCUUUUGUUGGGAAAGAAAAGCAGCAGGUUAAUACCCCGCUGUUCUGACGGUACCCAAAGAAUAAGCACCGGCUAACUUCGUG